CUCGUAGGUGGCCAACUAAGUCAGACGUGAAAUCCCUCAGCUUAACUGGGGAACUGCGUCUGAUACUGGAUGGCUUGAGAUUGGGAGAGGGAUGCGGAAUUCCAGGUGUAGCGGUGAAAUGCGUAGAUAUCUGGAGGAACACCGGUGGCGAAGGCGGCAUCCUGGACCAACACUGACACUGAGGAAGCGAAAAGCCAGGGGAGCAAACG
RNAcentral lists this ribosomal RNA (209 nucleotides) under uncultured bacterium. Its description in RNAcentral is "partial 16S ribosomal RNA". It matches the Rfam family "Bacterial small subunit ribosomal RNA", at positions 568 to 774 of the family's 1533-position model. The record is from RNAcentral.